This 372-nucleotide long non-coding RNA is filed under the name Calidris pugnax (ruff). RNAcentral's name for it is "lncRNA (ENSCPUG00000005240.1)". Lineage: Eukaryota; Metazoa; Chordata; Aves; Charadriiformes; Scolopacidae. The record is from RNAcentral.
CAAAAUUAAUGUUUUUUUUCUCAGAUCACUGUACAGGAAUUUGACAUUGAACCAGCUAGCCUGUUUUGAUAUACUCUACCUGUAAAAUUCUUUAUGCCUUUAUUAAACAGGAAAAGUUAAGAAAUAAAACAAGCCAAGAUAUGAUUUAGAAGAAAAAUAGCUUGGGUUCAUCUUAGAUAAUGAACUGUUCAUCCAAGGUGACCUGUGAUUCCCGGUUCUUCCUCAAGAGAAAAUUUAAAAAGUUGUUAAUUGGAAGAUUUUAAGGUAAACUGCAAAGGACAAAGAGAAUUGCUGCACUAUGGCCAGAAAUUGAGCCCACAGGAAUUAGCUGAAUGGCUGUAAUAUAUCUCCCAUAGAAGAGGGCAGUGUUGG